AUCCAGCUGACUGAGUCCCAAACAGAACGAAACAAGCGUCCUGAAU
RNAcentral lists this non-coding RNA (46 nucleotides) under Schistosoma mattheei. Lineage: Eukaryota; Metazoa; Platyhelminthes; Trematoda; Strigeidida; Schistosomatidae. The record is from RNAcentral.